This 254-nucleotide ribosomal RNA is filed under the name uncultured bacterium. RNAcentral's name for it is "partial 16S ribosomal RNA". It matches the Rfam family "Bacterial small subunit ribosomal RNA", at positions 107 to 354 of the family's 1533-position model. The record is from RNAcentral.
UGAGUAACACGUGAGUGACCUGCCUUUUAAACUGGAACAACUUACCGAAAGGUGAGCUAAUGCCGGAUGAGUUAUAUAAGUGCAUGUUUAUAUAGGAAAAGUUGGGGAGACCUGACGCUGAAAGAUGGACUCGCGUCCCAUUAGCUAGUUGGUAGGGUAAUGGCCUACCAAGGCGACGAUGGGUAGCCGGCCUGAGAGGGUGGCCGGCCACACUGGGACUGAGACACGGCCCAGACUCCUACGGAAGGCAGCAG